Cavia porcellus (domestic guinea pig) is the source of this 145-nucleotide small nuclear RNA. Its record names the gene U2. It matches the Rfam family "U2 spliceosomal RNA". Rfam says of the family: U2 is a small nuclear RNA (snRNA) component of the spliceosome (involved in pre-mRNA splicing). Lineage: Eukaryota; Metazoa; Chordata; Mammalia; Rodentia; Caviidae. The record is from Ensembl.
AAUGCUUCUCAGCCUUUCGCGUAAAACCAAGUGUAGUAUCUGUUCUUAUCAGUUUAAUAUCUGAUACGUCCUCUAGCCAAUGGAGUACUACUUAGCUAUAAAGAAUUAUCACCAUUGACAUAUUUAUAAGUAAAAUGGAUGCAAC